This 522-nucleotide ribosomal RNA is filed under the name uncultured bacterium. Its description in RNAcentral is "bacterial SSU rRNA". It matches the Rfam family "Bacterial small subunit ribosomal RNA", at positions 8 to 518 of the family's 1533-position model. The record is from RNAcentral.
AGAGUUUGAUUAUGGCUCAGGAUGAACGCUAGCUACAGGCUUAACACAUGCAAGUCGAGGGGCAGCAGGACGAUAGCUUGCUAUGUCGCUGGCGACCGGCGCACGGGUGAGUAACGCGUAUCCAACCUUCCCCUUAGUAGAGGAUAGCCCGGCGAAAGUCGGAUUAAUACUCUAUGUUGUAUUUUUGAGGACAUCUGACGAAUACCAAAGGUUCACCGCUAAGGGAUGGGGAUGCGUCUGAUUAGCUUGUUGGCGGGGUAACGGCCCACCAAGGCGACGAUCAGUAGGGGUUCUGAGAGGAAGGUCCCCCACAUUGGUACUGAGACACGGACCAAACUCCUACGGGAGGCAGCAGUGAGGAAUAUUGGUCAAUGGGCGAGAGCCUGAACCAGCCAAGUAGCGUGCAAGGAAGACUGCCCUAUGGGUUGUAAACUGCUUUUAUCAGGGAAUAAAGUGCGGCACGUGUGCUGUUUUGUAUGUACCUGAUGAAUAAGGACCGGCUAAUUCCGUGCCAGCCGCCGC